Molecule: ribosomal RNA, 563 nt
Filed under: uncultured archaeon
Lineage: Archaea
Description: bacterial SSU rRNA
Rfam family: Archaeal small subunit ribosomal RNA
Source: RNAcentral
CGGGGUGCACCAGGCGCGAAAACUUUGCAAUGCGGGAAACCGUGACAAGGGAACUCUGAGUGCCCGUAAAAUCGGGCUGUCCAUCGGUUUAAAUAACCGGUGAAGAAAGGGCCGGGCAAGACCGGUGCCAGCCGCCGCGGUAAUACCGGCGGCUCGAGUGGUGGCCACUAUUACUGGGCUUAAAGCGUUCGUAGCUGGUUUGUUAAGUCUCUGGGGAAAUCUUCCGGCUUAACCGGAAGGCGUCUCAGGGAUACUGGCAGACUAGGGACCGGGAGAGGUGAGAGGUACUCCAGGGGUAGGAGUGAAAUCCUGUAAUCCUUGGGGGACCACCUGUGGCGAAGGCGUCUCACCAGAACGGCUCCGACAGUGAGGGACGAAAGCUGGGGGAGCAAACCGGAUUAGAUACCCGGGUAGUCCCAGCUGUAAACGAUGCGCGUUAGGUGUAUCGGUGACCACGAGUCACCGAGGUGCCGAAGAGAAAUCGUGAAACGUGCCGCCUGGGAAGUACGGUCGCAAGGCUGAAACUUAAAGGAAUUGGCGGGGGAGCACAAGGGCGAAUCGCG